CCUACGGGAGGCAGCAGUGAGGAAUAUUGGACAAUGGUCGAGAGACUGAUCCAGCCAUGCCGCGUGCAGGAAGACGGCCCUAUGGGUUGUAAACUGCUUUUUUACGGGAAGAAUAAUGCCCACGUGUGGGCAGAUGACGGUACCGUAGGAAUAAGGACCGGCUAACUCCGUGCCAGCAGCCGCGGUAAU
This 189-nucleotide ribosomal RNA is filed under the name uncultured bacterium. Its description in RNAcentral is "partial 16S ribosomal RNA". It matches the Rfam family "Bacterial small subunit ribosomal RNA", at positions 338 to 524 of the family's 1533-position model. The record is from RNAcentral.